AUUGAACGCUGGCGGCAUGCUUUACACAUGCAAGUCGAACGGUAACAGGUUAAGCUGACGAGUGGCGAACGGGUGAGUAAUGCAUCGGAACGUGCCCGAUCGUGGGGGAUAACGCAGCGAAAGCUGCGCUAAUACCGCAUACGAUCUGAGGAUGAAAGCGGGGGACCGUAAGGCCUCGCGCGAUCGGAGCGGCCGAUGUCAGAUUAGGUAGUUGGUGGGGUAAAGGCUCACCAAGCCAACGAUCUGUAGCUGGUCUGAGAGGACGACCAGCCACACUGGGACUGAGACACGGCCCAGACUCCUACGGGAGGCGGCAGUGGGGAAUUUUGGACAAUGGGCGAAAGCCUGAUCCAGCAAUGCCGCGUGCAGGAAGAAGGCCUUCGGGUUGUAAACUGCUUUUGUACGGAGCGAAAAAGCCCUCUCUAAUACAGUGGGCUCAUGACGGUACCGUAAGAAUAAGCACCGGCUAACUACGUGCCAGCAGCCGCAGUAA
Molecule: ribosomal RNA, 493 nt
Filed under: uncultured bacterium
Lineage: Bacteria
Description: partial 16S ribosomal RNA
Rfam family: Bacterial small subunit ribosomal RNA
Source: RNAcentral